This 288-nucleotide ribosomal RNA is filed under the name uncultured bacterium. RNAcentral describes it as "partial 16S ribosomal RNA". It matches the Rfam family "Bacterial small subunit ribosomal RNA", at positions 29 to 289 of the family's 1533-position model. The record is from RNAcentral.
AUGAACGCUGGCGGCGUGGAUAAGGCAUGCAAGUCGGACGAUUUCCUUUUUGAAGAAGAUGCGAUUACAUCAAGUCAACUGAUAUUUUGGAGAUAGUGGCGAACGAGCUAGUAACACCUUGGUACGUACCCGAAAGUUUGGUAUAGCUCGCCGAAAGGCGGGGUAAUCCCAAAUAGUCCCUUCAUCUAUCGGAUGAUAGGGUAAAGUAGCAAUACGCUUUCGGAUCGGCCUAGGUCCGAUCAGUUAGUUGGUGAGGUAAUGGCUCACCAAGACAAUGACCGGUAGGGG